This 508-nucleotide ribosomal RNA is filed under the name uncultured bacterium. Its description in RNAcentral is "partial 16S ribosomal RNA". It matches the Rfam family "Bacterial small subunit ribosomal RNA", at positions 28 to 507 of the family's 1533-position model. The record is from RNAcentral.
GACGAACGCUGGCGGCGUGCCUAAUACAUGCAAGUCGAGCGCAGGAAGUCAUCCGAACCCUUCGGGGGGACGUUGACGGAAUGAGCGGCGGACGGGUGAGUAACACGUAAAGAACCUGCCCUCAGGUCUGGGAUAACCACGAGAAAUCGGGGCUAAUACCGGAUGGGUCAUCGGACCGCAUGGUCCGAGGAUGAAAGGCGCUCCGGCGUCGCCUGGGGAUGGCUUUGCGGUGCAUUAGCUAGUUGGUGGGGUAAUGGCCCACCAAGGCGACGAUGCAUAGCCGACCUGAGAGGGUGAUCGGCCACACUGGGACUGAGACACGGCCCAGACUCCUACGGGAGGCGGCAGUAGGGAAUCUUCCACAAUGGACGAAAGUCUGAUGGAGCAACGCCGCGUGAACGAUGAAGGCCCUCGGGUCGUAAAGUUCUGUUGUAAGGGAAGAACAAGUGCCGCAGGCAAUGGCGGCACCUUGACGGUACCUUGCGAGAAAGCCACGGCUAACUACGUG